This 460-nucleotide ribosomal RNA is filed under the name uncultured bacterium. RNAcentral's name for it is "partial 16S ribosomal RNA". It matches the Rfam family "Bacterial small subunit ribosomal RNA", at positions 338 to 795 of the family's 1533-position model. The record is from RNAcentral.
CCUACGGGAGGCAGCAGUGAGGAAUAUUGGUCAAUGGCCGGAAGGCUGAACCAGCCAUGCCGCGUGAAGGUCAGUGCCCUAUGGGCGUUAAACUUCUUUUGUGCGGGAGCAAUAAUGGUCACGUGUGGCCAGACGAGAGUACCGUACGCAUAAGCAUCGGCUAACACCGUGCCAGCAGCCGCGGUAAUACGGGGGAUGCAAGCGUUAUCCGCAUAUUUUGGGGUUAAAGGGUGCGUAGGCUGUGAGGUAAGUCAGCGGUGAAAUGCCCCGGCGCAACGGGGUGAAGUGCCAUUGAUACUGGCUGGCUGGAAUGCGCAUGCCGUGAGAGGAAUGUGUGGUGUAGCGGUGAAAUGCAUAGAUAUCACACAGAACACCGAUUGCGAAGGCAGCUCACGAAGCCGCGAUUGACGCUGAUGCACGAAAGCGUGGGUAUCAAACAGGAUUAGAUACCCCAGUAGUC